CGAACACUGGCGGCGUGGAUUAGGCAUGCAAGUCGAACGAGAAAGUUUCCUUCGGGAAACGAGUACAGUGGCGAACGGGUGAGUAACGCGUGGGAAAUCUGCCCUUUUGUGGGGGAUAACAGUUCUAACGAACUGCUAAUACCGCAUAAGCCCUCUGGAUCGCAUGACCCGGAGGGGAAAGAUGGCCUCUACAUGUAAGCUGUCGUAGAAGGAUGAUCCCGCGUCCCAUUAGCUAGUUGGUGGGGUAAAAGCCUACCAAGGCGACGAUGGGUAGCCGGCCUGAGAGGGUGUCCGGCCACACUGGGACUGAGAUACGGCCCAGACUCCUACGGGAGGCAGCAGUCGAGAAGCUUCCGCAAUGGGGGAAACCCUGACGGAGCGACGCCGCGUGAGUGAAGAAGGCCCUAUGGGUUGUAAAGCUCUGUCAGAUUGGGAAGAAAACUCUACGGGUAAUAUCCGUAGAGCUUGACGGUACCAUCAGAGGAAGCACCGGCUAACUCC
Molecule: ribosomal RNA, 501 nt
Filed under: uncultured bacterium
Lineage: Bacteria
Description: bacterial SSU rRNA
Rfam family: Bacterial small subunit ribosomal RNA
Source: RNAcentral